RNAcentral lists this ribosomal RNA (446 nucleotides) under uncultured bacterium. RNAcentral describes it as "partial 16S ribosomal RNA". It matches the Rfam family "Bacterial small subunit ribosomal RNA", at positions 330 to 792 of the family's 1533-position model. The record is from RNAcentral.
CCCAGACUCCUACGGGAGGCAGCAGUGGGGGAUAUUGCACAAUGGGGGGAACCCUGAUGCAGCGACGCCGCGUGGGUGAAGGAGCGUUUCGGCGCGUAAAGCCCUAUCGGCAGGGAAGAAGGAGGACGGUACCUGACUAAGAAGCCCCGGCUAACUACGUGCCAGCAGCCGCGGUAAUACGUAGGGGGCAAGCGUUAUCCGGAGUUACUGGGUGUAAAGGGGGCGCAGACGGCAGCGCAAGCCAGGAGUGAAAGCCCGGGGCCCAACCCCGGGACUGCUCUUGGAACUGCGCGGCUGGAGUGCAGGAGGGGCAGGCGGAAUUCCUGGUGUAGCGGUGAAAUGCGUAGAUAUCAGGAGGAACACCGGUGGCGAAGGCGGCCUGCUGGACUGCGACUGACGUUGAGGCCCGAAAGCGUGGGGAGCAAACAGGAUUAGAUACCCCGGUA